RNAcentral lists this ribosomal RNA (426 nucleotides) under uncultured bacterium. RNAcentral describes it as "bacterial SSU rRNA". It matches the Rfam family "Bacterial small subunit ribosomal RNA", at positions 356 to 773 of the family's 1533-position model. The record is from RNAcentral.
GGGGAAUAUUGCGCAAUGGACGAAAGUCUGACGCAGCGACGCCGCGUGAGGGAUGAAGGCCUUCGGGUUGUAAACCUCUGUCAGGAGGGAAGAACCGCCAUGGUAGUAACUGCCCAUGGUCUGACGGUACCUCCAAAGGAAGCACCGGCUAACUCCGUGCCAGCAGCCGCGGUAAUACGGAGGGUGCAAGCGUUAAUCGGAAUCACUGGGCGUAAAGCGCGCGUAGGCGGCUUUGUAAGUCAGAGGUGAAAGCCCACGGCUCAACCGUGGAACUGCCUUUGAUACUGCAAGGCUACGAGUUUGUGAGAGGAUAGUGGAAUUCCUGGUGUAGGAGUGAAAUCCGUAGAGAUCAGGAGGAACAUCAGUGGCGAAGGCGACUGUCUGGCACAACACUGACGCUGAGGUGCGAAAGCGUGGGUAUCAAAC